CAAUUGGAGAGUUUGAUCCUGGCUCAGAACGAACGCUGGCGGCGUGCCUAACACAUGCAAGUCGAGCGAGAAAGUCUCCGCAAGGGGGCAAGUAAAGCGGCGCACGGGUGCGUAACACGUGGGUAACCUGCCUGGAUGUCUGGAACAACCCUCAGAAAGGAAUGCUAAUACCAGAUAAGACCACGGGAACAUUGGUUCCUGAGGUAAAAAGACGGCCUCUGCAUGCAAGCCGUCACUUCCAGAGGGGCCCGCGGCCCAUCAGCUAGUUGGCGGGGUAACGGCCCACCAAGGCGACGACGGGUAGCUGGUCUGAGAGGACGAUCAGCCACACUGGAACUGAGACACGGUCCAGACUCCUACGGG
RNAcentral lists this ribosomal RNA (363 nucleotides) under Deltaproteobacteria bacterium. RNAcentral's name for it is "bacterial SSU rRNA". It matches the Rfam family "Bacterial small subunit ribosomal RNA", at positions 1 to 345 of the family's 1533-position model. The record is from RNAcentral. Lineage: Bacteria; Pseudomonadati; Myxococcota; Myxococcia.